RNAcentral lists this ribosomal RNA (461 nucleotides) under Streptococcus mitis. RNAcentral's name for it is "bacterial SSU rRNA". It matches the Rfam family "Bacterial small subunit ribosomal RNA", at positions 28 to 478 of the family's 1533-position model. The record is from RNAcentral. Lineage: Bacteria; Bacillati; Bacillota; Bacilli; Lactobacillales; Streptococcaceae.
GACGAACGCUGGCGGCGUGCCUAAUACAUGCAAGUAGAACGCUGAAGGAGGAGCUUGCUCUUCUGGAUGAGUUGCGAACGGGUGAGUAACGCGUAGGUAACCUGCCUGGUAGCGGGGGAUAACUAUUGGAAACGAUAGCUAAUACCGCAUAAGAGUAGAUGUUGCAUGACAUUUGCUUAAAAGGUGCAAUUGCAUCACUACCAGAUGGACCUGCGUUGUAUUAGCUAGUUGGUGAGGUAACGGCUCACCAAGGCAACGAUACAUAGCCGACCUGAGAGGGUGAUCGGCCACACUGGGACUGAGACACGGCCCAGACUCCUACGGGAGGCAGCAGUAGGGAAUCUUCGGCAAUGGACGGAAGUCUGACCGAGCAACGCCGCGUGAGUGAAGAAGGUUUUCGGAUCGUAAAGCUCUGUUGUAAAGAGAAAGAAACGAAGUGUGAAGAAGUGGAAAAGUUCAAC